Long non-coding RNA from Triticum dicoccoides, 1513 nucleotides. RefSeq lists it as uncharacterized. The transcript has 3 exons. The record is from RefSeq and is a predicted model, not a curated record. NCBI's taxonomy places the organism in Eukaryota, Viridiplantae, Streptophyta, Magnoliopsida, Poales, Poaceae.
CCACCACCUCCACGUCUUCCCCCCGCAGAUCUCUGACGUACUUUCCGUCAUGGGUGACGACAUGCCCCCCGGAUCCGAGUCGAGCCACCACUCACUGGCUGCCGGGGUCCAGAGAGUUCGGGUGCCAGAUCAAUGGUGGCUCCGUCAAAGCUGACUCCAUCGCCCUCGUACCCCCUCCCCCGUCGUGCCCCUAUUUCUGGGCAUGGAGCAGGACCAUGGGGACCUUUGCCGUCAGUGGAUCCAUCCACGCGUUCAGCAGUUAGCCACCCAUUCUUGGCAGUUACUCCCCGACAUCUCUGCUUCCCGUCAGUGUCGAGAUACAGGAGCACAAUGCUCCCAAACAGACCCGUAUCACUGGUCGAGCCGCCUAACAGCUGAUCGAGCUAACCCGUCUCCCUCGACGAAUCCACUGACCUCCUCCUCUUGUGGUGGCUCUCCUAGCUAUCCUGAGGUCUCCCUUGCACACGGGAGGUGGGGAGCGCGUCGUCCGGCCCCUAGCCGCCUCCCCAUGGCCGCAUCCCCAUCGGCGGCUGCUCGCCUCAAGCCCCUAUAUGUGGAUUCGACGCUGUGGAAAGCAGCAAUCAGCUUUUUUAUACUUGGAAAAGCAAAGUUGGUUUGCACACAGAGGCAUCACUUAUCCGUUGUUGUUUCUACAGCUUCAGCUAGCAGCAACCACAGCAGGUUGUUAGGGUCGGCCAUCCCGGCAGUUAAGUAAGACUAGUUAGAAUAGUAGUUCGAUUAUAAAAGGAAGCGACAGUCAAGAAAAAAACUGGAGAAUGGGGAGGACAAGAAUCCAGCAAGGGAGAAGGGAAAAAGAAAGCCGGUGAUCAAGUUAACUUCUGCUCCAUUGCGCCGGGGAUCGACGAGGUGCAGGACCCCUGAUGGGGAUUUACUGGUGGAGUGACCUCUCUACAACUAGCUCAAUUUCGUGUAUAAGUUAGCUUAGUUUCCAGGAGCAGUUUGCUUUACUGAUAGUUAUGUAAAAAAAGAACGACAAUGAUAAAUCCCGAACAUUCAGAUUUUAAGCAUGGCAAUCCGAACGUUUUUUAUGACAACUUUAGUUCAUGUGAGGUUGGCAAACAUUAAUUUUCUGACAAAAAAACAAACAGGGACAAAGUUGCCAUGUCUGAACAACUAAACUUGCCACCUCGCGUCAACUAAAGUUGCCAUGUAAAAACGUUUGGGAUGAAAUGCUUAAAAUCUGAACAUUCGGAUUUCAUCGGGGUCCAAAAAGAAACAGAGACCACUGCUCAAUUAGCUCUUGCCCCCAUGCUGCCAGCAGCACGAUCCAUGGUGCGCAGUUUGCCAAUGCUCAAUUUCAUGGAGCAGUUAGUUUCAGGGACUGGCUGCAGUUAUCUUGCGUCCAAAAAAAUUAAGUGAUGUACACAAUUAUGAUUUUUCCAGCCCCUGCUUGCGUGAGGUACAAAAAAUAGCAAUCUAAUGAGAGGGUUCAGUUUUGAGCCCCUCCUUGCGUGAGGUACAAAAAAUAUUUUUAAUCCCGACAGUUAACUCA